GAGUUUGAUCUUGGCUCAGAUUGAACGCUGGCGGCAUGCCUUACACAUGCAAGUCGAACGGCAGCAUGAUCUAGCUUGCUAGAUUGAUGGCGAGUGGCGAACGGGUGAGUAAUACAUCGGAACGUGCCCUGUAGUGGGGGAUAACUAGUCGAAAGAUUAGCUAAAUACCGGCAUACGACCUGAGGGUGAAAGUUGGGGGUACCGCGAAGGCCUCAUGCUAUAGGAGCGGCCGAUGUCUGAUUAGCUAGUUGGUGGGGUAAAGGCCCGACCAAGGCGAC
RNAcentral lists this ribosomal RNA (278 nucleotides) under uncultured microorganism. RNAcentral's name for it is "partial 16S ribosomal RNA". It matches the Rfam family "Bacterial small subunit ribosomal RNA", at positions 9 to 277 of the family's 1533-position model. The record is from RNAcentral.